Molecule: non-coding RNA, 45 nt
Organism: Plasmodium yoelii yoelii 17XNL
Lineage: Eukaryota; Apicomplexa; Aconoidasida; Haemosporida; Plasmodiidae
Source: Rfam
AUAAAGGUUCUUUUGAGAACUAUCAAAAAAACGAAAGAAAAAAAA